RNAcentral lists this ribosomal RNA (459 nucleotides) under uncultured Coleodesmium sp. Its description in RNAcentral is "bacterial SSU rRNA". It matches the Rfam family "Bacterial small subunit ribosomal RNA", at positions 324 to 795 of the family's 1533-position model. The record is from RNAcentral. Lineage: Bacteria; Bacillati; Cyanobacteriota; Cyanophyceae; Nostocales; Tolypothrichaceae.
UUAAUUACAUAAUCUUUGAAAGGGUCCGACCUUUGGGGAUUCUUCCGCAAUGGGCGAAAGCCUGACGGAGCAAUACCGCGUGAGGGAGGAAGGCUCUUGGGUUGUAAACCUCUUUUCUCAGGGAAGAAAAAAAUGACGGUACCUGAGGAAUAAGCAUCGGCUAACUCCGUGCCAGCAGCCGCGGUAAUACGGAGGAUGCAAGCGUUAUCCGGAAUGAUUGGGCGUAAAGCGUCCGCAGGUGGCUGUGUAAGUCUGCUGUUAAAGAGUCUGGCUCAACCAGAUAAAGGCAGUGGAAACUACACGGCUAGAGUGCGUUCGGGGCAGAGGGAAUUCCUGGUGUAGCGGUGAAAUGCGUAGAGAUCAGGAAGAACACCGGUGGCGAAAGCGCUCUGCUAGGCCGCAACUGACACUGAGGGACGAAAGCUAGGGGAGCGAAUGGGAUUAGAUACCCCAGUAGUC